GAUGAACGCUGGCGGCGUGCUUAACACAUGCAAGUCGAGCGAAGCAGUUAAGUUGAUUUCUUCGGAUUGAUUCUUGACUGACUGAGCGGCGGACGGGUGAGUAACGCGUGGGUGACCUGCCCCAUACCGGGGGAUAACAGCUGGAAACGGCUGCUAAUACCGCAUAAGCGCACAGAGCUGCAUGGCUCGGUGUGAAAAACUCCGGUGGUAUGGGAUGGGCCCGCGUCUGAUUAGGCAGUUGGCGGGGUAACGGCCCACCAAACCGACGAUCAGUAGCCGGCCUGAGAGGGCGACCGGCCACAUUGGGACUGAGACACGGCCCAAACUCCUACGGGAGGCAGCAGUGGGGAAUAUUGCACAAUGGGGGAAACCCUGAUGCAGCGACGCCGCGUGAGCGAAGAAGUAUUUCGGUAUGUAAAGCUCUACCAGCAGGGAAGAUAAUGACGGUACCUGACUAAGAAGCCCCGGCUAACUACGUGCCAGCAGCCGCCGUAA
RNAcentral lists this ribosomal RNA (495 nucleotides) under uncultured bacterium. RNAcentral's name for it is "partial 16S ribosomal RNA". It matches the Rfam family "Bacterial small subunit ribosomal RNA", at positions 28 to 523 of the family's 1533-position model. The record is from RNAcentral.